This 206-nucleotide long non-coding RNA is filed under the name Homo sapiens (human). RNAcentral's name for it is "non-protein coding lnc-SP3-5:1". The record is from RNAcentral. Lineage: Eukaryota; Metazoa; Chordata; Mammalia; Primates; Hominidae.
AUUUCACUCACUUUUUCAUUUUACAAUGGAGAAACCAAGGCUCAGAGGAGUGAAGGAACUUGCCCAUUGCCACAUAUUGGGGUGGAUGUAAACUGAAGUGACUGUGGGGCUCAAUGAUCUCCCCUCAUCUGAGCAAGGCCCUCAAUACCCAGGAGUGGGCAUAGGCACCUGACUCUUGUCAGUCCAACCGAAUCAUUUCUCAGGGG